CAAAGGCUUGGUCCUGGCCUUGUUAUCAGUUGUCUCUUAACUUACACAUGCAAGUCUCAGCACACCCGUGAGGACGCCCUUUACCCCUUCUUUAGGCUAAGGAGCUGGUAUCAGGCACACCAACCUGCCCACAACACCUAGUCCCACCACGCCCCCAAGGGUAUUCAGCAGUGAUAAAUCUUGACCAUAAGCGCCAGCUUGAAUCAGUUAAAGAGAAGAGAGCCGGCCAACAUGGUGCCAGCCGCCGCGGCUAGACCAAUGGGCUCAAAUUGAUAACAUUCGGCGUUAAGCGUGAUUAAGGCUAACCCAUAAUUAGAGUGAAACUUAUACUAAGCCGUGAAAAAGCACACAAUAAGGAACCCCAAAAACGAAAGUUACUCUAAUCUUGCUUGAACACACGACAGCUAGAGAACAAACUGGGAUUAGAUACCCCACUAUGUCUAGCCGUAAAAUAUCAACUCACACCUAAAGCGCCCGGGAAUUACGAGCAAUGCUUAAAACCCAAAGGACUUGACGGUGUCCCAGCCAACUAGAGGAGCCUGUUCUAUAAUCGAUGACCCGCGUUUCACCUCACCCCCCCUUGCCCCCACAGUCUGUAUACCUCCGUCGCAAGCCCGCCACUUGAGUGACCCUCAGCGGGCUCAACGGCCCUAUCGCCAAUACGUCAGGUCAAGGUGCAGCCCACGGGGGGGAAAGUAAUGGGCUACAAUUUCUAAUUUAGAACAAACGAAAUACUGCAUGAAACACAGUCAUGAAGGAGGAUUUAGUAGUAAAAAGAAAAUAGCACAUUCUUUUUAACACGGCCCUGGGACGUGUACACACCGCCCGUCACCCUCUUCGACAACCCUAACUUGCUACCUAACCCAUCCCCCCCCACCAGAGAAGAGGUAAGUCGUAACAUGGUAAGUGUACCGGAAGGUGCACUUGGUAAA
This 932-nucleotide non-coding RNA is filed under the name Phrynoderma karaavali. RNAcentral describes it as "12S ribosomal RNA". It matches the Rfam family "Bacterial small subunit ribosomal RNA". The record is from RNAcentral. Lineage: Eukaryota; Metazoa; Chordata; Amphibia; Anura; Dicroglossidae.